This 520-nucleotide ribosomal RNA is filed under the name uncultured bacterium. Its description in RNAcentral is "bacterial SSU rRNA". It matches the Rfam family "Bacterial small subunit ribosomal RNA", at positions 43 to 560 of the family's 1533-position model. The record is from RNAcentral.
CGAUGCCUUACACAUGCAAGUCGAACGGUAACGGGCCUUCGGGUGCCGACGAGUGGCGAACGGGUGAGUAAUGCAUCGGAACGUACCUUUCAGUGGGGAUAACGUAGCGAAAGUUACGCUAAUACCGCAUAUUCUGUGAGCAGGAAAGCAGGGGAUCGCAAGACCUUGCGCUGAUUGAGCGGCCGAUGUCAGAUUAGCUAGUUGGUGAGGUAAAGGCUCACCAAGGCGACGAUCUGUAGCGGGUCUGAGAGGAUGAUCCGCCACACUGGAACUGAGACACGGUCCAGACUCCUACGGGAGGCAGCAGUGGGGAAUUUUGGACAAUGGGGGCAACCCUGAUCCAGCCAUGCCGCGUGAGUGAAGAAGGCCUUCGGGUUGUAAAGCUCUUUCGGCCGGGAAGAAAUCGCAUGGGUUAAUACCCUGUGCGGAUGACGGUACCGGCAUAAGAAGCACCGGCUAACUACGUGCCAGCAGCCGCGGUAAUACGUAGGGUGCGAGCGUUAAUCGGAAUUACUGGGCG